This 76-nucleotide transfer RNA is filed under the name Pseudomonadota bacterium. Its description in RNAcentral is "Proteobacteria bacterium (freshwater metagenome) tRNA-Arg". It matches the Rfam family "tRNA", at positions 15 to 71 of the family's 71-position model. From Rfam's summary of the family: Transfer RNA (tRNA) molecules are approximately 80 nucleotides in length. Their secondary structure includes four short double-helical elements and three loops (D, anti-codon, and T loops). Lineage: Bacteria; Pseudomonadati; Pseudomonadota. The record is from RNAcentral.
GAAAGCGGUUGACCGGUACCAGAGCAUUUGGCUUCGAACCAAACGGCCGGGCGUUCGAAUCGCUCCGGGGUCACCA